Molecule: non-coding RNA, 150 nt
Organism: Caenorhabditis elegans
Lineage: Eukaryota; Metazoa; Nematoda; Chromadorea; Rhabditida; Rhabditidae
Source: Ensembl
AAUUUCGAUACUCCACCGAGUAUCGAUCGACCACGUAUUCACAUAGAUAACUGAAUCUACACGUUCUUACAGUGAAAACCAUAACCGUAACUACCAAAAAUUACACAUGUUUAAUUUUUAAAAAGAGUAAUAUUUUAAGCUCCCGUAGAC